Molecule: long non-coding RNA, 1494 nt
Organism: Quercus lobata
Lineage: Eukaryota; Viridiplantae; Streptophyta; Magnoliopsida; Fagales; Fagaceae
Exons: 4
Source: RefSeq, a predicted model, not a curated record
AGAACUUGAAGAGGAGUAUUUGUGUGGUAACUAAUUCAACUUUAAGGCCAAACUUUGCAGUUGGCAUUAUGCAUACCUGUGAAAGAAGUGCUAGAGUGUUAAUAAUGCUCAAUCAGCCGGUGGUCUAUGAAAGCUUUUAUUCAUCAUCCCUUGGUGAUUCUCCUAACAGCUCUGGAGGCUUUUGGCUAUAUGAUGACAUGUGAAAUUAAAAUGUGUAUUGCUGCAUCUGGUGCACCUUUUGUACUAUUGGGAGCCAUGGUUUCUAAGCUUUUCACUAAUCGGACAAUCUAUGCAAAUAAGGUCUUGACUCCUAUAUGUUGUGUGCAGCACUUGUAACGCUCAUGCUCAUUAUAGCCAUAAAUUUGCCCCUCAGAUUUCUACCUCAUGUGGACAAUUCAGCUCAAAUUGAAGGAUUCCAGUCAGGAUUUCCCCUUGGCUUGGAUAUGUAAGCCACAAAUAAAUUCCUCCAAGAUAUGAAAUGAAGCAGAAAUCCAAGCACAAAUGCUAUCAAUACCUUUUAUAGCAUUACUGCUUUACUCCUCUAAAUUCUUGGAAGAAAUUGGCAGAUAUGCAUAUGGAUGUAUUGAGCUAUUUAAUGGUCAGAAGCCAUAUUGCUGUAUAUUCUGCCCUUCUAGAGCAUCAAUCAGUUGAAUGAUUAUGUCAGUCUAUUUGCCUAUUCUUCAAGCUUUGCAAGUAUAACAAAACUACUCUUGUAUGGAUGUGCACUGUGACAAAGGAUCUUGGCAGUUUACGCCUCCCAUUGUCGGCUUUUGAAGCUAGCCAGCUUGCAGAUUGUGCAGCCACUUCUUUUAUGCUCAUCACUUGGGUACCUAAGCAAGAGAUUUGGAAACUAAGAAAUCAUAAAGUGCAUAAUAGAGGUUCUGUCGGUAUUCUGAUGGCAGGCAAGCAUAUUCAAGCCUAAUCUAUGGAGUUUCAGUCCUUAAUGUCUGUUGAGAACAGUAAAGUAACAAGCUUAGCCCACUUGUCCUGGGAAUCUCCUUGAGUGAUCAAGAUCGAUAUUGAUGCAGCAGUCUCGGACUCAGUCACCACCUUGGCUGUCUUGGCUCGAGACUCUGAUGGUAAGGUUAUGAAGGUUUGAACUAAAUUGCAUGGAAGUGCUCCCCUCUCCAAGCUGAAGCGCUGUUCAGAUUGCUACUAGCAAGCUACAGAGCUGUCAUUUUUUAGGGUGACUCUAAAGUUUGUUUUGAGCCCUUAAUUUCCAGAGACCUCCCAUCUGAUUGAUCCAUAAGUAACAUCAUUUGUAAUAUUAUUAGUAUCUCCGAGUCUUGUCUUUGUUUUAGUUUUCGUUGGGUUAUGCAGGUAUGCAACUUUGUGGCUCAUACAGCAGCAAAGCUUGCUAUAUGCUCCAACAUGUCUUUUUAUUUCAAUAACGAUAAUCUGCCUGUAGAACUUGUUUCUGCUUGUAAGGUAGACUAUCCUCUUGUUUCCCUUGUUUAAUGUUAAGAGAAGAUUAUCAAAAAAAAAAAAAAAAAA